This 497-nucleotide ribosomal RNA is filed under the name uncultured bacterium. Its description in RNAcentral is "partial 16S ribosomal RNA". It matches the Rfam family "Bacterial small subunit ribosomal RNA", at positions 28 to 507 of the family's 1533-position model. The record is from RNAcentral.
GAUGAACGCUGGCGGCGUGCCUAAUACAUGCAAGUCGAGCGAACGGACGAGAAGCUUGCUUUUCUGAUGUUAGCGGCGGACGGGUGAGUAACACGUGGAUAACCUACCUAUAAGACUGGGAUAACUUCGGGAAACCGGAUCUAAUACCGGAUAAUAUUUUGAACCGCAUGGUUCAAAAGUGAAAGACGGUCUUGCUGUCUCUUAUAGGUGGAUCCGCGCUGCAUUAGCUAGUUGGUAAGGUAACGGCUUACCAAGGCAACGAUGCAUAGCCGACCUGAGAGGAUGAUCAGCCACACUGGAACUGAGACACGGUCCAGACUCCUACGGGAGGCAGCAGUGGGGAAUCUUCCGCAAUGGGCGAAAGCCUGACGGAGCCACACCGCGUGAGUGAUGAAGGUCUUCGGAUCGUAAAACUCUGUUAUUAGGGAAGAACAUAUGUAUAAGAAACUGUGCACAUCUUGACGGUACCUAAUCAGAAAGCCACGGCUAACUACGUG